GACGAACCGCCCAAACGUUAUUCGGAAUUACUGGGCUUAAAGGGUGCGUAGGCGGCCCAGCAAGUCAGGUGUGAAAUCCCACGGCUCAACCGUGGAACUGCGCUUGAAACUGCUGGGCUUGAGGGAGAUAGAGGUAAGCGGAACUGAUGGUGGAGCGGUGAAAUGCAUUGAUAUCAUCAGGAACACCGGUGGCGAAGGCGGCUUACUGGGUCUCUUCUGACGCUGAGGCACGAAAGCUAGGGGAGCGAACGGGAUUAGAUACCCCUGUA
RNAcentral lists this ribosomal RNA (269 nucleotides) under uncultured prokaryote. RNAcentral's name for it is "partial 16S ribosomal RNA". It matches the Rfam family "Bacterial small subunit ribosomal RNA", at positions 524 to 792 of the family's 1533-position model. The record is from RNAcentral.